This 207-nucleotide ribosomal RNA is filed under the name uncultured Lactivibrio sp. RNAcentral describes it as "partial 16S ribosomal RNA". It matches the Rfam family "Bacterial small subunit ribosomal RNA", at positions 568 to 775 of the family's 1533-position model. The record is from RNAcentral. Lineage: Bacteria; Thermotogati; Synergistota; Synergistia; Synergistales; Aminobacteriaceae.
CGCGUAGGCGGUCAUUUAAGUCAGCUGUGAAAUGGUUUGGCUUAACCGGAUCAUGCGGUUGAAACUGGAUGACUGGAGUGCUGGAGAGGCAAGUGGAAUUCCCAGUGUAUCGGUGAAAUGCGUAGAUAUUGGGAAGAACACCGGUGGCGAAGGCGACUUGCUGGCCAGUAACUGACGCUGAGGCGCGAAAGCCAGGGGAGCAAACGG